This 1352-nucleotide long non-coding RNA is filed under the name Gallus gallus (chicken). Lineage: Eukaryota; Metazoa; Chordata; Aves; Galliformes; Phasianidae. The record is from RNAcentral.
GGAGAUCUCCAAGGUGAGCCCAUCUAGUACAUGAUUAAAAGUGUAUGGGAAGACAAAGGACUGCAUUCUUUUUCGUGGGAUUAAGUUCCAAAACACCCUAGGAGAGCCGUUCUUGGUUUUGGGAUCAUCAGAAAGGUCCUAGGGAAGAUUCUUUGGCUUCAGUAUUGCUUUCCUCAAGCUUUUGUUUACAAAAAACUGCAUUCCUUGCAUAUGCAUAAAAAUACUUUGGGGAUGCCUUACAUUUCAGCUCAUGUUUCUGGAAAAAAAAAAAAAAAAAGGUAUGGUAUAUCCAUCUUACUGACUGCGCUUUCUUUGUCCCUUUGUUUGUAUUUUACCAAAGCAAAAAAAGAUUACAGUAUACAUAUAAUUUUAAAUGUAAAGAAGGAUCUAUGUGAUUGGUUUGCUUUUGAAUCUGUAACUAUAAAAAGUAUGCUUUGUGUGAAAGUGCACUCAAGAAUGUGCAGCUAUAUAUGAUACAGCACUGCUGGAUUCUAUUUAAAGACAUAGUUUCUAUUUUUUUCGGGGUCUCCAUAGUUAGUAUUAAGUAUGGAGUUGAGUGGACAUAACUGGGAUAGUUUUGCAGAUACUUCUUUCAGUACUGGUUCCUAAAAAGCCACAGUAAAAUACAGGGAAAAAUGGAUCUGUUGAUUCAGUGUCUUAAAUUAACACCUAGCAUCUGCAGUUGGUGCAGGUCAUUCAAGUAGCUUCAGCUGAAUUCUCAUAUGAUGAUAAAUCAUUCUAACAUGAGAGGCAUCUUUUUUUUAAGGUUUUUUUUUCCUCUGUAUUUCAAGGAAUAAAAAUUAGUUUGGAAGGAAACCAAGUAUUCCUUGUAAACUUCUUUUUUGCUUAAUUUUACAGUAUUUGAAUGAAGGUCUGCUUAAAUUGUGCUAGCUAAGAUUAGAUAAUUUCACACAGGUCUGAGCACAAUUUCACUGAAUGUAAGUUAUUGAUAUAUAUGUUCAUUUCUGUAGCUAAAAGAUGAGGGUGUUUAUAUCAUGCAAAUCCUUUUAACGUCAUUACUUUGAUUUAAAAAAACAAACUGCAUGAACUGAGUGGGUCACUUACUUCUUCCGAGGGUAAAUGAGAAGAAUUUCAGCUCUUUGUUACCAGUUAGCUGCAAAAGAGCCCUCUGUUGAGAAUUCCAUCUAACGCAAAUGCCUUAACCCACGGAGGUGUCCAAACAGAACAAACAUCCAAAGUCAGAGUGUCAAACAGCUACCAGCUCUUAGAAGUUGUCGCAGUCCUGGGAAAUCAUUCAGGAAGGUGCAAGCACAGACAGCUCUGGGGAAAAAACAGGCUGUGUGAACAUUAUCUUGUGGCAGACAUCAGUGCAAUCCCUGAAGUACUCCCAC